Molecule: ribosomal RNA, 420 nt
Filed under: uncultured eukaryote
Lineage: Eukaryota
Description: SSU rRNA
Rfam family: Eukaryotic small subunit ribosomal RNA
Source: RNAcentral
CAAUAGCGUAUAUUAAAGUUGUUGCAGUUAAAAGCUCGUAGUUGGAUUUCUGUUCUCGAGGAUCGGUCCGCCUCACGGUGAGCACUGGUUUUUCUUGGGGACAUCCUCUCGAAGGCGGGUGGUGCACUUAAUUGUGUGCUGCUUGGAUUCGGGACCUUUACUUUGAAAAAUUAGAGUGUUCAAAGCAGGCGUCGGCUUGAAUACAUUAGCAUGGAAUAAUGGAAUAGGACUUUGGUUCUAUUUUGUUGGUUUCUAGGACCGAAGUAAUGAUUAAUAGGGACAGUUGGGGGCAUUAGUAUUUAAUUGUCAGAGGUGAAAUUCUUGGAUUUAUGAAAGACUAACUACUGCGAAAGCAUUUGCCAAGGAUGUUUUCAUUAAUCAAGAACGAAAGUUAGGGGAUCGAAGACGAUCAGAUACCAU